Molecule: RNase P RNA, 354 nt
Filed under: Lachnospiraceae bacterium
Lineage: Bacteria; Bacillati; Bacillota; Clostridia; Lachnospirales; Lachnospiraceae
Description: RNase P RNA component class A
Rfam family: Bacterial RNase P class A
About the family: Ribonuclease P (RNase P) is a ubiquitous endoribonuclease, found in archaea, bacteria and eukarya as well as chloroplasts and mitochondria. Its best characterised activity is the generation of mature 5'-ends of tRNAs by cleaving the 5'-leader elements of precursor-tRNAs.
Source: RNAcentral
UGAGUAGCACAGAUGAUCGCAGCUGCAAGUGUCGAAAGACCGCAGGUGAGGAAAGUCCGAGCUUCACAGGGCAGAAUGCCGGAUAACGUCCGGUAGAGGCGACUCUCAGGCUAGUGCAACAGAAAUAAACCGCCCGGAUACAUUCCGGGUAAGGGUGGAAAGGCGAGGUAAGAGCUCACCGCCAGACUGGUAACAGUGUGGGCACAUGUAAACCCCAUUCGAAGCAAGACCGAAUAGAAAGCUAUACGGCGGCCCGUCGUGCUUUCGGGUAGGUCGCUUGAACCUGUCGGUAACGGCAGGUCUAGAUAGAUGAUCAUCCAACGACAGAACUCGGCUUAUCGUGCUACUCAUUUA